Sinocyclocheilus anshuiensis is the source of this 407-nucleotide long non-coding RNA. RefSeq lists it as uncharacterized. The transcript has 3 exons. The record is from RefSeq and is a predicted model, not a curated record. NCBI's taxonomy places the organism in Eukaryota, Metazoa, Chordata, Actinopteri, Cypriniformes, Cyprinidae.
AUCGCCCCUUCAUCCUCUGCCGUGAUGAUCUCACCCCUUAUGUCUCUGUAGAGAUGGUAUCGCCCAACUUCACCGCUUGAGUAGCGUGGUUUGGAAAGGCUUUGAGAGUUUAUGGAAACUGUCAGGCACUGGAACCUAAUGAGAAAACGAGCUGGAGCCUGGCCAAAAAAAGGAGAGCUUGCUGGUGAUUCAUUGGACCAGACCACACCAGAUUCCCCCACCCCAAUGGGAGAUAAUAAGGCCAUUUAUAUGGGUGUCAGUGGACAGGAAGCAUGACCAUAUCUGGAGUCUGAAGGGCAGACAAUCAAGUCUUCAGAAGAAAAUGUUGGAAGAAACCACACAGACUUUUAUAGCGAUGAAUGCUGUCUGGUGGGAUGCUAUCCCUUUAAACGUCUGCCGACGGGACA